Cicer arietinum (chickpea) is the source of this 1022-nucleotide non-coding RNA. NCBI's taxonomy places the organism in Eukaryota, Viridiplantae, Streptophyta, Magnoliopsida, Fabales, Fabaceae. The record is from RefSeq and is a predicted model, not a curated record.
UAAAUGGAAAUUGAAGGCACAUCAUCUCAACCACUACCAUGUCAACUUACUUCAGAAGAAAGUUCACAUCAACCAUGAUUGAAAGUUGUAAUCCGUUAGCUAAUUUCUACACUAAAUGAAACUGUGCAAACACCACACGAUGAGACAAAUGAUAAUAUGACAGAUGAAAUACCCGAAGAUCGUAACAAUAGACUUAAAAGUAUUGUAUGGGAUCAUUUUACAAAGGUCAAAGUUGAUGGAAAAGAAAAAGCUAAAUGUAAUUAUUGCAAGAAAUUGCUUGGUGGGAGAGCAAGAGACGAGACCUCACACUUGCGCGAACAUAUGAAAAUAUGUACUCCACGUUUGUCUACCAUGAGACAUAAUAACGGACAAACAUUUCUUACCGCUAAGGUCUUUUAAGGUAAAAAGGAGUUGGGACUGGAAUUUAUGAUGCUGAAAAUGCUAGGAAAGAGCUUGCACAUGCAAUUAUUUUGCAUGAAUAUCCACUUUCAAUAGUGGAGCAUAUUGGUUUUAGGAGAUACUCAGCCUCUCUCCAACCAUUAUUUCAAGUUCCUUGUAGAAAUACUAUAAAAAAAGAGAUAUUCAAAGUGUAUGAAGUUGAGAAAACCAUAAUUUUGAAGUUGUUAGAAACUCUCCCACAAAGAGUGGCCAUUACUUCUGACAUGUGAACUGCGAGCAAUAAAAAAAAAAGGGUAUAUGGCUGUCACUGCUCAUUACAUUGAUGAAAAUUGGGAUCUACAAAGUCAAAUUUUGAGGUGAUUCAAAUUCUAAAGUGGAUAAUGAAAAUGCUAUUUUACUCAAUGAAAUAGAGUCUGGCGAUGAAGGUGAAUUGUUGAUCAGUGGUGUUACUUCACUUUCCAAUUCCCGUCUUGAAGAUGAAGAUGAAGAUGAUCGUCAGAAAAUGCUUAUUUAGAACCUUUUUGUUUUGAUGAUUUGGAACUUUUUACUGUUUUGAUUGAUUAGUUCGUUUGAACUUUGAAUAUUUAGAACUUUUGUUCUUUGUUGAUCAAAAUAUUAUGACU